GUGGGUGAUACCUUCACUAUCCAAGCACCCCCGGGAAAGAAAUGUCUGAGCGCUUGCAUAAGGGCAACAAACAACCCACAUCUCCAGUGGGUUUCGAAGAGGAGAGCAGAGAAGGAAAGCAUGGAGUGUGAUUUCGUUUUUUUCUCCACAGUAAGUAUGUUCCUGAGUAAUACAGAUCCCUGCCUUGAUUUAACAGGGCUACACGACUCUAUUAAUGGGGGGGGAGGGGGAGGCACCAAGAACUAAAUUAAUUCCAGUUCCACUGGCUUUGAUUGGCGAGUUCACUGCAAACCUUAGUGAUCCAGUAUUUGUGGAAUGAUCAUAAAACUUCAAGGAGAGCUGAAGGGCUCAGGUCAUAACCAGUUAUAGUGCUGAUCUAUAGCUUUCCUGGAGAACUACAUAGCUGGGAGCAGGGCCCUGUGAUUUGUACCUGACCAAAGCUAUAUGUACAGGCCUAGUGUUGUCCAUGUACAUGGGUCAGACACUGGGUUAAAACAGUGCAAAACAAACCACAAAGAAAGGAAACCCUAAAAUCCACCUCAAUCCAAACAAAGCCUCUCCUGUAUAUUUGCUAAGAGAUUGCCACAUCCCUCUCCGACCAAACUCAUAUUGACUUCAAAGCCUUUGGGUUGUAUUCUGCCAUUACACCAGUGUCAAACCAGAGUAACUCUGCUGCCUUCCAUGGGUGUUGUGCCUGAAUGAAAAUCGCCGGGGUCAGAUCCAGACAAGAUCUGUUGCUAGGUGUAUUUAUGGGGUAGGUGUGGUUGGGGGCCUCAGAUGAAUUAGUAGUUGCAAAUGCAUGGAAAAAAUCAAACAGGCAGUGUAGUGAGUCGGUGUGGCUCCCCUUCUGCCCAGAAGAGGGAGCCCCCGUGCAGGCACCAGAGUGGGUGGAGCCACCGCCGCCUGUCCCCGCCCCCCGGAAGUCAAGGGGCGGGACAGGAAGUAUAAAGGCCGGCCGCCAGAGCUCAGUCAGCUGCCAGCCACCACAGGGAGCAGAUGUGUGGCUGGGAGCUCCUGGCCAGGAGACCUCCGAGGCCAGGGCCCAACUGGCCAGAGCUACCCUGGGCCCGCUACGAGGAGGAGCCACCGGAGCCCGUCCGCUCCCGUUGCUGGGAGGAACCCUGGGAACCCCCCCACACUAACCCUGAAGGCGAGACCGCACCAGAACCCCUCUGCCCCUGCUGCUACCUGGAGGAGCCGCCCGAGUGCAACUGGCCUGAUUUCCCGAUGGAGCUGCCGGACCUGCCACCAAGCCCUGGCCGAGAGGAGCCCAUGCAGCUGGACUGGGUCCGAGCCUGGUGUGAUGAACGAGAUCAAAGCGACGGUAGGUGCUUGGGACCACAAUCCUCUGGCUAAUGGCAAGCUUUUGGAGAGGAGCUCCAAGGAGUCCCUUCAUGUUCUUUCGGGAUCACGGGAAAGCAGAACAGAUGGGACACUCAGGAGAUGUUGUUUCUUUUCUUUCUUUCUUUCUUCUUUUUACAUGUGAGGAAGCUGUUGGAGAAAAUCCCUAACCCUUCUACCACCAGGAUGGAUAGAUACCUGCAGACGCUCACUUCUUCUGAAAUUGCUCACUGCUGUAAACUCUGAGAAUGUGCCUGUGUAACUCCGACGGACCUGCCCCACUCCGCCAUUACAUGGGAGAGAACACCACACCCAGAAGAUGUGUGGGUUAUACAUAUUUCAGUGAAUCAAUGAGGACAGAAGCGACUUUGUCUGUACAAAGUGCAAGCUGGUCUC
Long non-coding RNA from Trachemys scripta elegans, 1737 nucleotides. RefSeq lists it as uncharacterized. The transcript has 4 exons. Lineage: Eukaryota; Metazoa; Chordata; Testudines; Emydidae. The record is from RefSeq and is a predicted model, not a curated record.